UUAAGCGACUAAGCGUACACGGUGGAUGCCCUGGCAGUCAGAGGCGAUGAAGGACGUGCUAAUCUGCGAUAAGCGUCGGUAAGGUGAUAUGAACCGUUAUAACCGGCGAUUUCCGAAUGGGGAAACCCAGUGUGUUUCGACACACUAUCAUUAACUGAAUCCAUAGGUUAAUGAGGCGAACCGGGGGAACUGAAACAUCUAAGUACCCCGAGGAAAAGAAAUCAACCGAGAUUCCCCCAGUAGCGGCGAGCGAACGGGGAGCAGCCCAGAGCCUGAAUCAGUGUGUGUGUUAGUGGAAGCGUCUGGAAAGGCGCGCGAUACAGGGUGACAGCCCCGUACACAAAAAUGCACAUAUUGUGAGCUCGAUGAGUAGGGCGGGACACGUGGUAUCCUGUCUGAAUAUGGGGGGACCAUCCUCCAAGGCUAAAUACUCCUGACUGACCGAUAGUGAACCAGUACCGUGAGGGAAAGGCGAAAAGAACCCCGGCGAGGGGAGUGAAAAAGAACCUGAAACCGUGUACGUACAAGCAGUGGGAGCACGCUUAGGCGUGUGACUGCGUACCUUUUGUAUAAUGGGUCAGCGACUUAUAUUCUGUAGCAAGGUUAACCGAAUAGGGGAGCCGAAGGGAAACCGAGUCUUAACUGGGCGUUAAGUUGCAGGGUAUAGACCCGAAACCCGGUGAUCUAGCCAUGGGCAGGUUGAAGGUUGGGUAACACUAACUGGAGGACCGAACCGACUAAUGUUGAAAAAUUAGCGGAUGACUUGUGGCUGGGGGUGAAAGGCCAAUCAAACCGGGAGAUAGCUGGUUCUCCCCGAAAGCUAUUUAGGUAGCGCCUCGUGAAUUCAUCUCCGGGGGUAGAGCACUGUUUCGGCAAGGGGGUCAUCCCGACUUACCAACCCGAUGCAAACUGCGAAUACCGGAGAAUGUUAUCACGGGAGACACACGGCGGGUGCUAACGUCCGUCGUGAAGAGGGAAACAACCCAGACCGCCAGCUAAGGUCCCAAAGUCAUGGUUAAGUGGGAAACGAUGUGGGAAGGCCCAGACAGCCAGGAUGUUGGCUUAGAAGCAGCCAUCAUUUAAAGAAAGCGUAAUAGCUCACUGGUCGAGUCGGCCUGCGCGGAAGAUGUAACGGGGCUAAACCAUGCACCGAAGCUGCGGCAGCGACGCUGAUGCGUUGUUGGGUAGGGGAGCGUUCUGUAAGCCUGUGAAGGUGUGCUGUGAGGCAUGCUGGAGGUAUCAGAAGUGCGAAUGCUGACAUAAGUAACGAUAAAGCGGGUGAAAAGCCCGCUCGCCGGAAGACCAAGGGUUCCUGUCCAACGUUAAUCGGGGCAGGGUGAGUCGACCCCUAAGGCGAGGCCGAAAGGCGUAGUCGAUGGGAAACAGGUUAAUAUUCCUGUACUUGGUGUUACUGCGAAGGGGGGACGGAGAAGGCUAUGUUGGCCGGGCGACGGUUGUCCCGGUUUAAGCGUGUAGGCUGGUUUUCCAGGCAAAUCCGGAAAAUCAAGGCUGAGGCGUGAUGACGAGGCACUACGGUGCUGAAGCAACAAAUGCCCUGCUUCCAGGAAAAGCCUCUAAGCAUCAGGUAACAUCAAAUCGUACCCCAAACCGACACAGGUGGUCAGGUAGAGAAUACCAAGGCGCUUGAGAGAACUCGGGUGAAGGAACUAGGCAAAAUGGUGCCGUAACUUCGGGAGAAGGCACGCUGAUAUGUAGGUGAAGCGACUUGCUCGUGGAGCUGAAAUCAGUCGAAGAUACCAGCUGGCUGCAACUGUUUAUUAAAAACACAGCACUGUGCAAACACGAAAGUGGACGUAUACGGUGUGACGCCUGCCCGGUGCCGGAAGGUUAAUUGAUGGGGUCAGCGCAAGCGAAGCUCUUGAUCGAAGCCCCGGUAAACGGCGGCCGUAACUAUAACGGUCCUAAGGUAGCGAAAUUCCUUGUCGGGUAAGUUCCGACCUGCACGAAUGGCGUAAUGAUGGCCAGGCUGUCUCCACCCGAGACUCAGUGAAAUUGAACUCGCUGUGAAGAUGCAGUGUACCCGCGGCAAGACGGAAAGACCCCGUGAACCUUUACUAUAGCUUGACACUGAACAUUGAGCCUUGAUGUGUAGGAUAGGUGGGAGGCUUGGAAGUGUGGACGCCAGUCUGCAUGGAGCCGACCUUGAAAUACCACCCUUUAAUGUUUGAUGUUCUAACGUGGACCCGUAAUCCGGGUUGCGGACAGUGUCUGGUGGGUAGUUUGACUGGGGCGGUCUCCUCCUAAAGAGUAACGGAGGAGCACGAAGGUUGGCUAAUCCUGGUCGGACAUCAGGAGGUUAGUGCAAUGGCAUAAGCCAGCUUGACUGCGAGCGUGACGGCGCGAGCAGGUGCGAAAGCAGGUCAUAGUGAUCCGGUGGUUCUGAAUGGAAGGGCCAUCGCUCAACGGAUAAAAGGUACUCCGGGGAUAACAGGCUGAUACCGCCCAAGAGUUCAUAUCGACGGCGGUGUUUGGCACCUCGAUGUCGGCUCAUCACAUCCUGGGGCUGAAGUAGGUCCCAAGGGUAUGGCUGUUCGCCAUUUAAAGUGGUACGCGAGCUGGGUUUAGAACGUCGUGAGACAGUUCGGUCCCUAUCUGCCGUGGGCGCUGGAGAACUGAGGGGGGCUGCUCCUAGUACGAGAGGACCGGAGUGGACGCAUCACUGGUGUUCGGGUUGUCAUGCCAAUGGCACUGCCCGGUAGCUAAAUGCGGAAGAGAUAAGUGCUGAAAGCAUCUAAGCACGAAACUUGCCCCGAGAUGAGUUCUCCCUGACCCUUUAAGGGUCCUGAAGGAACGUUGAAGACGACGACGUUGAUAGGCCGGGUGUGUAAGCGCAGCGAUGCGUUGAGCUAACCGGUACUAAUGAACCGUGAGGCUUAACCUU
Molecule: ribosomal RNA, 2902 nt
Filed under: Escherichia coli
Lineage: Bacteria; Pseudomonadati; Pseudomonadota; Gammaproteobacteria; Enterobacterales; Enterobacteriaceae
Description: bacterial LSU rRNA
Rfam family: Bacterial large subunit ribosomal RNA
Source: RNAcentral